Molecule: ribosomal RNA, 301 nt
Filed under: uncultured bacterium
Lineage: Bacteria
Description: partial 16S ribosomal RNA
Rfam family: Bacterial small subunit ribosomal RNA
Source: RNAcentral
CAGUCGCCGCGGUAAUACGGAGGGUGCGAGCGUUAAUCGGAAUUACUGGGCGUAAAGCGUACGCAGGCGGCUAUUCAAGUCAGGGGUGAAAGCCCGGGGCUCAACCCCGGAACUGCCUUUGAAACUAGAUAGCUUGAAUCUUGGAGAGGCGAGUGGAAUUCCGAGUGUAGAGGUGAAAUUCGUAGAUAUUCGGAAGAACACCAGUGGCGAAGGCGACUCGCUGGACAAGUAUUGACGCUGAGGUGCGAAAGCGUGGGGAGCAAACAGGAUUAGAUACCCCUGUAGUCCCUGUCUCUUAUAC